This 76-nucleotide non-coding RNA is filed under the name unclassified sequences. RNAcentral describes it as "freshwater-2 RNA". It matches the Rfam family "freshwater-2 RNA". Rfam says of the family: Aquatic, esp. fresh water. No recognized genes The record is from RNAcentral.
UUCAAAAAUAGUUUUGAAGUUUAUGCGGUUUAACCCACCGCGUAUAACAUAGAACGUUACAUAGGAGAAACAAAUG